Molecule: ribosomal RNA, 439 nt
Filed under: uncultured bacterium
Lineage: Bacteria
Description: bacterial SSU rRNA
Rfam family: Bacterial small subunit ribosomal RNA
Source: RNAcentral
AACGCGAAGAACCUUACCUGGGCUUGAACCGCUACUGACCAAGGGUAGAAAUAUCCUCUUCCCGCAAGGGACAGUAGUAGAGGUGCUGCAUGGCUGUCGUCAGCUCGUGCCGUGAGGUGUUGGGUUAAGUCCCGCAACGAGCGCAACCCUUACUCGUAGUUGCCACCCGCAAGGGGGAACUCUACGAGGACUGCUCCGGAUAACGGAGAGGAAGGUGGGGAUGACGUCAAGUCAGCACGGCCUUUAUGUCCAGGGCUACACACGUGUUACAAUGCGCGCUACAGAGCGUUGCAAACCCGCGAGGGGGAGCUAAUCGCACAAAAGCGCGCUCAGUUCGGAUUGCAGUCUGCAACUCGACUGCAUGAAGCCGGAAUCGCUAGUAAUGGCGCAUCAGAACGGCGCCGUGAAUACGUUCCCGGGCCUUGUACACACCGCAUAC